AUUGAACGCUGGCGGAAUGCUUUACACAUGCAAGUCGAACGGCAGCACGGGUGCUUGCACCUGGUGGCGAGUGGCGCACGGGUGCGUAACGCGUAUGCAACCUACCUAUUGCAGGGGAAUAGCCCAGGGAAACUUGGAUUAAUGCCCCAUAGCCCACAAUGAGAGCUAAUAAAGGUGGCCUCUAUUUAUAAGCUACCGCUAAAAGAGGGGUUUGCGUCUGAUUAGCUAGUUGGUAGGGUAACGGCCUACCAAGGCAAUGAUCAGUAGCCGGUCUGAGAGGAUGAACGGCCACACUGGGACUGAGACACGGCCCAGACUCCUACGGGAGGCAGCAGUGGGGAAUCUUCCGCAAUGGGCGAAAGCCUGACGGAGCAACGCCGCGUGAACGAAGAAGGUUUUCGGAUCGUAAAGUUCUGUUCUUAGAGACGAAAGAUGCGAUUGUGAAUAAUGAUCGUAAGUGACGGUAACUAAGGAGCAAGCCACGGCUAACUACGUG
RNAcentral lists this ribosomal RNA (496 nucleotides) under uncultured bacterium. RNAcentral describes it as "bacterial SSU rRNA". It matches the Rfam family "Bacterial small subunit ribosomal RNA", at positions 30 to 507 of the family's 1533-position model. The record is from RNAcentral.